UGGAUUAACAACAACAUUCUGAUAAAAUACGUCAAUGAGAAAUUCAGAAAGCAGUUAAAAGGUUCCUACAUCCCAGACACCACUCCUGCUCUCACCUUGUUGGUUGGCCGUUCUUUCAGGAAUUCUCUGUUGUACUCUCCAUUGCAGUGUAUGGUACUAUAUAAUAAUGGACAGAUAGAUCACUGUGCUACUGUACACAAACAUCAGACUAAAGAAGAGAUCUCAACAUGAAUGACUAUUUUGCCUAAAUUUAUACUCACAGACUUGGAGUAAGAUGGAGAUACAACAAACAUAUAACUACAUAUGGAAUAAUUUCCACUAAGGCCAAAAAGUUGGAUAAACAGAGCCUCUCCAAAAGACAAAAGGACAACACUAAAACAGAAGAAGAAAAAGGAGGAGGAACAGAAAGAAGAAACCUGCCCUAUUGGCCUCCAUAAGGAAGGGAAAAUGUGAAGCUGCAAUGUUUUCUCUCUAGUCUCCUGUACUUGGUUUGAAAACAGGAGCGCUUUUUAAUUCUAGUGUUCUUCCUCAAAGUGGAUAUGAUGGGAAGAGAUGAGUUGUGAGUAUCCUCAUGACUUCAUCAUUGUUUGCCAACAAGAUUCUCAUCACAGUGCAGUUGAAAAAGAUCAGAGACAACCUGAACAUCAACCAGUGACUGCAGUGACACUGACAACAGCUGCUAUAUAAGCUGGGUGAAUAAUUUGGACUUCAGACAAGAGGCUGGAAGAACAUAUCCCUGCUCGACAGUUGGACACAGUGGUGAAGUUCAAGGACCUUAGAUCUGCCCUGUCCUACAAACAGAACUAGAUAGCUAUCAAAUCAUCCUAACCUCCCCAGAAAUUGACAUGAACACCAGUAGAACAAACUCUACAACUAAAGGAGAAAAGAGGCCACAUCU
Panthera uncia (snow leopard) is the source of this 898-nucleotide long non-coding RNA. RefSeq lists it as uncharacterized. The transcript has 9 exons. NCBI's taxonomy places the organism in Eukaryota, Metazoa, Chordata, Mammalia, Carnivora, Felidae. The record is from RefSeq and is a predicted model, not a curated record.